UAUAGACCCCAUACAGAAAAAAACAAACAAACAAACAAACAAACAAACAAACAACACCCCCCCCCCCAAUUCAAUUAAUUUUAAAGGGGAAAGACCCCCUACAAUUGCUUUUUAAAGCAAUUGAUUUAUAUUGUAAAAAACCUUUUUAACCAUUCUGUUCCGUUAAUAAAAAAAAAAAAAAAAAAUCUCCCCGAGACCCCCUUUUGCCCCCCCCCCUUUUUUUUUAACCCUCCACUUACAACUGAAUGUAGGUUGUGUACUAUCUAUCCUAUCAACGUAAAACGAACGACAACUCCAGUUUUUUCCAUAUUAUUAGGUCUUUCCACUUUUCUGUGGAAAGCCUAUUGUAUUUGUUCUGAUUAUUAGGUCUUUCCACUUUUCUGUGGAAAGCCUAUUGUAUUUGUUCUGAUUAUUAUUAUUAUUUUUUUUUUUUUUUCCGCCAAAUUUUGUUCUUGCGAUAAAUGUUUGUUUCGCAAUAUGUCGCUUAGAUUUUUUUCAUAUUGUAUCGUAUAGUUUAUGCGCUUUUAAAUUUCACCCUGCUAAGCCGAACCAUUUUCUUUGUAAGAGUUAUCUCCCUAUUCACUGUUUGUCAUGUGUGUGCAUCUCCUUCGUAACAAAAUAAGAAAGCGACAAAAUUCUUUUUACAAAUUGUUCGUUACAUCCUCAGGAAUUUUUGGCUAAUUUGGAUCGAAGCGAUUCGAUGAAAUUUUAUAGGAGUUAUGUACCUUUACGGAAUAAAUUUGUCGGUAUGUUUUUUUAACUCAUAAACCGUUAACCGUAUAACCCUGGAAUGUUUUUAUUUGAGUCCCCUGGGUCCUAACUUAGAAAAUUAGGUCAAGGUCAAAGGUCAAGGUCAUAUUUUAGAUUUUCAUAUGUCUUUGAUUUCCCUAUAAUUCUUGAAUGGUUAUAGAUACAGAAAAUUUAAGCAGUGAAAAAUGUUCAGUACUUCAAGGGGCAACUUUGUUACAUUAUGACUGUAUUGGUUUUACCAUUAUGUAAGGGACAUAACCCCCAUUGAUGGUUUAUAAAAAGCCAUUAUUAGGCAAAACUCUUAAACAAAAGGUCCUUGACCCAUAGGGUCUUUUGCAAUGACAUUGUGAAGCAAUGACCUUGACAAAGGUCACAAGGUCAAAGGUCAAGGUCAUGUACAUAUGUGAUUUGGGGCACGACUUGAAGAAUUUUAUGUGUGUUUGCCAACCAACCAACCAACCAACCAAUCAUGAUCAAUCAAUAAUGAUCAAUCAACAAAUCAUGAUCAUGAUCAAUCAACCAAUCAUGAUCAUGAUUAAUCAAUCAAUCAAUCAUGUUUCCGUCUCAUGUGUUUAAUAUAGGGUUCAAGAUCUCCUUUGUUUCUUUUUCGCUGUUUCAAUUGACCCUUUCCAACGUGUUUAACCAACCAACCAACCAACCAACCAACCAACCAAUCAAUCAAUCAAUCAAUCAAUCAAUCAAUCAAUCAAUCAAUCAUCAAUCAAUCAAUCAAUCAUGUUUCCGUCUCGUGUGUUUAAUAUAGGGUCCAAGAUCUUCUUUGUUUCUUUUUCGCUGUUUCAAUUGACCCUAUCCAACGUGUUUAACCAACCAACCAACCAACCAACCAACCAACCAACCAAUCAAUCAAUCAAUCAAUCAUGAUCAUGAUCAAUCAAUCAUGUUUCCGUCUCGUGUGUUUAAUAUAGGGUCCAAGAUCUUCUUUGUUUCUUUUUCGCUGUUUCAAUUGGCCCUAUCCAACGUGUUUUAACCAACCAACCAACCAACCAACCAACCAACCAAUCAAUCAAUCAAUCAAUCAAUCAAUCAAUCAUGAUCAUGAUCAAUCAAUCAUCAAGAAUCAAUCAAUCAUGAUCAUGAUCAAUCAAUCAUGUUUCAUGAAAAAUUGAAAUUUAAUAUUGUUCUUGCGUCACUUCUGAAAAAAAAAAUCCACAUGUACUCUGAAACUACAAGUACAAUCGACCUCAAAAUUUGCAGUCAGCAGGGCAUACAUGUACUAAAAGUUUCAUAAAAAAACUUGGUGCAGAUAUCUCUCAAGACUUUUCCUAGAGAAAAAAAAUUGGCAAUGCCGUAAAAAUCGCUUGCUAGGUCCGUAAAUCUCAGUAAAAGCCUACAAUAAAAUGUCCGCUCCGAGAUUGAAAUACUAAUCUGUGUUACAAACAGGUGCUGAAAAAUGUACAUUAUCAGAAAAUAAUCAAUAAAUGUGUUUUAAAGUUACACCGGAUCAAAUUAAAUCCAAAACAUGCACUGCUUGUGAACUGUCAUCAAAAUGUCAAUUUCCUACAAUGACAAAAGAAAUUACAUUGUGUGCAUUCCGUCUCUAUACAUGUUGUCUGUUCAAAGUCCCCACCUAAAAAGGAAUAAAAAGACUAUCUUUUCGUUAUUAUAAACCCGUGUCACGUGAUGUCUCCCAUGUGGCGCGCGCGCUGUACCUAAAAUAAAAGAAAAACUUUCCAAACUAAACAUGAAACUUCUCCGGUAACAAUAAUAUAGACCCCAUACAGAAACAAACAAACAAACAAACAAACAAACCCCCCCCCCCCCAAUUCAAUUAAUUUUAAAGGGGGAAAGACCCCCUACAAUUGCUUUUUUAAAGCAAUUGAUUUAUAUUGUAAAAAACCUUUUUAACCAUUCUGUUCCGUUAAUAAAAAAAAAAAAAAAAAUCUCCCCGAGACCCCCUUUUGCCCCCCCCCUUUUUUUUUAACCCUCCACUUACAACUGAAUGUAGGUUGUGUGCUAUCUAUCCUAUCAACGUAAAACGAACGACAACUCCAGUUUUUUCCAUAUUAUUAGGUCUUUCCACUUUUCUGUGGAAAGCCUAUUGUAUUUGUUCUGAUUAUUAGGUCUUUCCACUUUUCUGUGGAAAGCCUAUUGUAUUUGUUCUGAUUAUUAUUAUUAUUUUUUUUUUUUUUCCGCCAAAUUUUGUUCUUGCGAUAAAUGUUUGUUUCGCAAUAUGUCGCUUAGAUUUUUUUCAUAUAUUGUAUCGUAUAGUUUAUGCGCUUUUAAAUUUCACCCUGCUAAGCCGAACCAUUUUCUUUGUAAGAGUUAUCUCCCUAUUCACUGUUUGUCAUGUGUGUGCAUCUCCUUCGUAACAAAAUAAGAAAGCGACAAAAUUCUUUUUACAAAUUGUUCGUUACAUCCUCAGGAAUUUUUGGCUAAUUUGGAUCGAAGCGAUUCGAUGAAAUUUUAUAGGAGUUAUGUACCUUUACGGAAUAAAUUUGUCGGUAUGUUUUUUU
This 3224-nucleotide long non-coding RNA is filed under the name Mytilus galloprovincialis (Mediterranean mussel). The record is from RNAcentral. Lineage: Eukaryota; Metazoa; Mollusca; Bivalvia; Mytilida; Mytilidae.